Macleaya cordata is the source of this 119-nucleotide ribosomal RNA. Lineage: Eukaryota; Viridiplantae; Streptophyta; Magnoliopsida; Ranunculales; Papaveraceae. The record is from Rfam.
GGGUGCGAUCAUACCAGCACUAAUGCAUCGGAUCCCAUCAGAACUCCGCAGUGAAGCGUCCUUGGGCGAUAGUAGUACUAGGAUGGGUGACCUCCUGGGAAGUCCUCGUGUUGCCACCC